AUUGAACGCUGGCGGCAUGCCUUACACGUGCAAGCCGAACGGUAACAGGUCUUCGGAUGCUGACGAGUGGCGAACGGGUGAGUAAUACAUCGGAACGUGCCUAGUAGUGGGGGAUAACUACUCGAAAGAGUGGCUAAUACCGCAUGAGAUCUACGGAUGAAAGCAGGGGAUCGCAAGACCUUGUGCUACUAGAGCGGCCGAUAGCAGAUUAGGUAGUUGGUGGGAUAAAAGCUUACCAAGCCGACGAUCUGUAGCUGGUCUGAGAGGACGAUCAGCCCCACUGGGACCGAGACACGGCCCAGACUCCUACGGGAGGCAGCAGUGGGGAAUUUUGGACAAUGGGCGAAAGCCUGAUCCAGCAAUGCCGCGUGCAGGAUGAAGGCCUUCGGGUUGUAAACUGCUUUUGUACGGAACGAAAAGCCCCGGGUUAAUACCCUGGGGUCAUGACGGUACCGUAAGAAUAAGCACCGGCUAACUACGUGCCAGCCGCCGCCGUAA
Molecule: ribosomal RNA, 498 nt
Filed under: uncultured bacterium
Lineage: Bacteria
Description: partial 16S ribosomal RNA
Rfam family: Bacterial small subunit ribosomal RNA
Source: RNAcentral